This 85-nucleotide ribozyme is filed under the name Strigamia maritima. RNAcentral's name for it is "drz-agam-1 ribozyme". It matches the Rfam family "drz-agam-1 ribozyme". The record is from Rfam by way of RNAcentral. Lineage: Eukaryota; Metazoa; Arthropoda; Chilopoda; Geophilomorpha; Linotaeniidae.
GGAUGUAAAACCCAUCUCUCUACCUCCAUGUGGUCCCCCCUGGAUAAACUGAUGUCUAAAUUACAUCAGUUUAACUAAAAGAGAG